Molecule: transfer RNA, 71 nt
Filed under: Megophrys montana (Asian spadefoot toad)
Lineage: Eukaryota; Metazoa; Chordata; Amphibia; Anura; Megophryidae
Description: Megophrys monticola (Asian spadefoot toad) tRNA-Val
Rfam family: tRNA
About the family: Transfer RNA (tRNA) molecules are approximately 80 nucleotides in length. Their secondary structure includes four short double-helical elements and three loops (D, anti-codon, and T loops).
Source: RNAcentral
AACAAAAUGUAGCUUAAUCAUAAAGCCCCUCGCUUACACCGAGACGUCAUCUGUUAAACCCGGAUCAUUUU